This 475-nucleotide ribosomal RNA is filed under the name uncultured bacterium. Its description in RNAcentral is "bacterial SSU rRNA". It matches the Rfam family "Bacterial small subunit ribosomal RNA", at positions 170 to 677 of the family's 1533-position model. The record is from RNAcentral.
CGCAUAUGGGCUGAGGCCCAAAGCCGAGAGGCGCCUUUGGAGCGGCCUGCGUCCGAUUAGCUAGUUGGUGGGGUAAAGGCCUACCAAGGCUGCGAUCGGUAGCUGGUCUGAGAGGACGAUCAGCCUCACUGGGACUGAGACACGGCCCAGACUCCUACGGGAGGCAGCAGUGGGGAGUAUUGGACAAUGGGCGCAAGCCUGAUCCAGCAAUGCCGCGUGGGUGAAGAAGGUCUUCGGAUCGUAAAGCCCUUUCGACAGGGACGAUGAUGACGGUACCUGUAGAAGAAGCCCCGGCUAACUUCGUGCCAGCAGCCGCGGUAAUACGAAGGGGGCUAGCGUUGCUCGGAAUUACUGGGCGUAAAGGGCGCGUAGGCGGCGUAAUCAGUCAGGCGUGAAAUUCCUGGGCUUAACCUGGGGGCUGCGCUUGAUACGGCUAUGCUUGAGGGUAGGAGAGGGUCGUGGAAUUCCCAGUGUA